ACGAAGCUCUCCUAAGGUCAGAGGUCCAGAGACUUCCCAGCCCUCUCCGGUUCCCUUGGGGAACAUCUGGAACCUGCUCAGCCAGAUGCUGUCAAAGUCUCCCGACUAUGUUGUUUUCGUCUCCCCUAUCUGCUUUAUUGUCUUGUCACUCGGCUCACUGAUGUCAGAUUUUGUUUCUGACUAUACUCACCCCCCUCACCAGAAUCUCGGGAACAUUGUCUAUCCUGGAAAACCGCUAAUGUCCUGCCAGCUCCAACGGCCAGUCUUUCAAACUGGCUGGCCGUUCGAGGGCUCACUUAACCUGUGUGAUUUAUCUGCGGUGUGAAAUGUUAUCUUCGGAUUCCCUGGGCAUCCAGACCGGGUUCCACACUUGGGUGCCUGGAUUUUCCUGGUGGAGAAGCCCCCUCAUGUGUUCCCAUUGGGGAAGCACCUGGACAUGCUGGUCUGUUCGUGUCUGUCAAUGUGUUUACGGUUUCAGUUAGUUCGAUUGUUGUUCUGUGUCUGAUACUCAGAAAAUGGGCCAAACUUAGUCUGCUGGCCAUUCACCCUUUUGGACUUGGACAGGACACUAGUCCCCAAGCGACGCGCUCUGUCUUUGAAAUUCAGCUUUAUCGGUCUCUCUCCAUGUCAGUUUAUUCUUCAUAUUCUGGGGAAAAGGCCAAACUUCAUCUGCUGGACUUAGUUUUAACUCAUUUCGAGGCUUUUCAGGAAAGAGAAGAUAGCUGAACUGAACUAUCCCUGCCCUUGGAGCCCCGCAUCUGCGCAAGCCCAGAAUCUCCUACCCAGAUCAAGCUGGCGGCAGGCCUGGAGCUGCCUGUACAAGCUGCUCUUAGAGGGGCACCGCGAGCUCCCCAGCUUCUCUCCUGAGAAAACUCAUGGCUGGUUCUGCUACAAAGCCGCUGUGGUCACGAGAACUGGAUUCAACAGUUAGCAAGGCGCUCCUCCCUUGAAAUUACAGCUGGAAGAAGGAAGAGAAGUUUUGUCUGUCUGUUUUGAAUGUGUAAAUGUAUGUAUGGACACUGCACGUUUAUUUCUGACCGGCCUUAAAUUUGAGUACUGCUUGUGCCAUGCUGUCCCUCCCAGUGUUAGGGAGAUGUCCUUAUCUGGCUCCUGCACUUUCUCAAGAACAAGAUAAUCAGAGCAAAGUAAACUUACAAAGUUUGUUUAUACGGUAGAUUACAUUGAUGGAUUUCCAUAUAUUGAACCACCCAUGCAUGCCUGGGAUGAAGCCUA
This is a long non-coding RNA of Psammomys obesus (fat sand rat), 1233 nucleotides long. RefSeq lists it as uncharacterized. Lineage: Eukaryota; Metazoa; Chordata; Mammalia; Rodentia; Muridae. The record is from RefSeq and is a predicted model, not a curated record. The transcript has 3 exons.